RNAcentral lists this ribosomal RNA (446 nucleotides) under uncultured bacterium. RNAcentral describes it as "partial 16S ribosomal RNA". It matches the Rfam family "Bacterial small subunit ribosomal RNA", at positions 338 to 795 of the family's 1533-position model. The record is from RNAcentral.
CCUACGGGGUGCAGCAGUCGAGAAUAAUUCACAAUGGGGGAAACCCUGAUGGUGCGACGCCGCGUGGGGGAAUGAAGGUCUUCGGAUUGUAAACCCCUGUCAUGUGGGAGCAAAUUAAAAAGAUAGUACCACAAGAGGAAGAGACGGCUAACUCUGUGCCAGCAGCCGCGGUAAUACAGAGGUCUCAAGCGUUGUUCGGAAUCACUGGGCGGAAAGCGUGCGUAGGCUGUUUCGUAAGUCGUGUGUGAAAGGCGCGGGCUCAACCCGCGGACGGCACAUGAUACUGCGAGACUAGAGUAAUGGAGGGGGAAACGGAAUUCUCGGUGUAGCAGUGAAAUGCGUAGAUAUCGAGAGGAACACUCGUGGCGAAGGCGGGUUCCUGGACAUUAACUGACGCUGAGGCACGAAGGCCAGGGGAGCGAAAGGGAUUAGAUACCCUUGUAGUC